UAAAUAAAAUAAAACUGGAAUAAUACAGAGAAGAUUAGCAUGGCUCCUGUGCCAUUAGGAUGGCGAGCAAAUUCGUGUUUUAAAAAAUAAAAAU
RNAcentral lists this small nuclear RNA (94 nucleotides) under Canis lupus familiaris (dog). Lineage: Eukaryota; Metazoa; Chordata; Mammalia; Carnivora; Canidae. The record is from RNAcentral.